Molecule: ribosomal RNA, 294 nt
Filed under: Escherichia coli
Lineage: Bacteria; Pseudomonadati; Pseudomonadota; Gammaproteobacteria; Enterobacterales; Enterobacteriaceae
Also listed under: 1 other name
Description: partial 16S ribosomal RNA
Rfam family: Bacterial small subunit ribosomal RNA
Source: RNAcentral
AAAUUGAAGAGUUUGAUCAUGGCUCAGAUUGAACGCUGGCGGCAGGCCUAACACAUGCAAGUCGAACGGUAACAGGAAGAAGCUUGCUUCUUUGCUGACGAGUGGCGGACGGGUGAGUAAUGUCUGGGAAACUGCCUGAUGGAGGGGGAUAACUACUGGAAACGGUAGCUAAUACCGCAUAACGUCGCAAGACCAAAGAGGGGGACCUUCGGGCCUCUUGCCAUCGGAUGUGCCCAGAUGGGAUUAGCUAGUAGGUGGGGUAACGGCUCACCUAGGCGACGAUCCCUAGCUGGU